RNAcentral lists this long non-coding RNA (255 nucleotides) under Lathyrus oleraceus (garden pea). RNAcentral describes it as "Pisum sativum (pea) long non-coding RNA (PSAT_LNC007982)". The record is from RNAcentral. Lineage: Eukaryota; Viridiplantae; Streptophyta; Magnoliopsida; Fabales; Fabaceae.
UCGUUGAAAUCAUGUAGCUACAUGUUGUUUUUACAUGUUGUUUCUAUGUGUCAGUUAGUGUGUUUCUACGUGUUGUUUAUCACUAAAAUGAUGUUAGCUAGUAUGUUUCUUUUUUAGAUAGUCAUGGUUGAUUUGACAAGCACCUCUCAUACAACAUGUGAUACAACCUCUGUUAAUACAAAAUGUAAAAGAAAAACUAGAGGUGUUGCGAUAUUUAUCAAGGUGAAAAAAGUCCAUGAAAAGGGUAUUCGCUAC